GUGCGGCGUGCUUAACACAUGCAAGUCGAACGGAAAGGCCCUGCUUUUGUGGGGUGCUCGAGUGGCGAACGGGUGAGUAACACGUGAGUAACCUGCCCUUGACUUUGGGAUAACUUCAGGAAACUGGGGCUAAUACCGGAUAGGAGCUCCUGCUGCAUGGUGGGGGUUGGAAAGUUUCGGCGGUUGGGGAUGGACUCGCGGCUUAUCAGCUUGUUGGUGGGGUAGUGGCUUACCAAGGCUUUGACGGGUAGCCGGCCUGAGAGGGUGACCGGCCACAUUGGGACUGAGAUACGGCCCAGACUCCUACGGGAGGCAGCAGUGGGGAAUAUUGCACAAUGGGCGGAAGCCUGAUGCAGCAACGCCGCGUGCGGGAUGACGGCCUUCGGGUUGUAAACCGCUUUCGCCUGUGACGAAGCGUGAGUGACGGUAAUGGGUAAAGAAGCACCGGCUAACUACGUGCCAGCAGCCGCGGUGAUACGUAGGGUGCGAGCGUUGUCCGGAUUUAUUGGGCGUAAAGGGCUCGUAGGUGGUUGAUCGCGUCGGAAGUGUAAUCUUGGGGCUUAACCCUGAGCGUGCUUUCGAUACGGGUUGACUUGAGGAAGGUAGGGGAGAAUGGAAUUCCUGGUGGAGCGGUGGAAUGCGCAGAUAUCAGGAGGAACACCAGUGGCGAAGGCGGUUCUCUGGGCCUUUCCUGACGCUGAGGAACGAAAGCGUGGGGAGCGAACAGGCUUAGAUACCCUGGUAGUCCACGCUGUAAACGGUGGGUACUAGGUGUGGGGUCCAUUCCACGGGUUCCGUGCCGUAGCUAACGCUUUAAGUACCCCGCCUGGGGAGUGCGGCCGCAAGGCUAAAACUCAAAGGAAUUGACGGGGCCCCGCACAAGCGGCGGAGCAUGCGGAUUAAUUCGAUGCAACGCGUAGAACCUUACCUGGGUUUGACAUGGAUCGGGAGUGCUCAGAGAUGGGUGUGCCUCUUUUGGGGUCGGUUCACAGGUGGUGCAUGCCUGUCGUCAGCUCGUGUCGUGAGAUGUUGGGUUAAGUCCCGCAACGAGCGCAACCCUUGUUCACUGUUGCCAGCACGUUAUGGUGGGGACUCAGUGGAGACCGCCGGGGUCAACUCGGAGGAAGGUGGGGAUGACGUCAAGUCCUCAUGCCCCUUAUGUCCAGGGCUUCACGCAUGCUACAAUGGCUGGUACAGAGAGUGGCGAGCCUGUGAGGGUGAGCGAAUCUCGGAAAGCCGGUCUCAGUUCGGAUUGGGGUCUGCAACUCGACCUCAUGAAGUCGGAGUCGCUAGUAAUCGCAGAUCAGCAACGCUGCGGUGAAUACGUUCCCGGGGCUUGUACACACCGCCCGUCAAGUCAUGAAAGUUGGUAACACCCGAAGCCGGUGGCCUAACCGUUGUGGGGGAGCCGUCGAAGGUGGGACUGGUGAUUAGGACUA
This 1439-nucleotide ribosomal RNA is filed under the name uncultured organism. RNAcentral describes it as "partial small subunit ribosomal RNA". It matches the Rfam family "Bacterial small subunit ribosomal RNA". The record is from RNAcentral.